GCUUACCAUGCAGUCGAACGAUGAACCUCNGAGCUUGCUCUAGGGGAUUAGUGGCGAACGGGUGAGUAACACGUGAGUAACCUGCCCUUGACUCUGGGAUAACCUCCGGAAACGGAAGCUAAUACCGGAUAUGACGUACGGAGGCAUCUCCUGUACGUGGAAAGAAUUUCGGUCAAGGAUGGACUCGCGGCCUAUCAGGUAGUUGGUGAGGUAACGGCCCACCAAGCCUACGACGGGUAGCCGGCCUGAGAGGGUGACCGGCCACACUGGGACUGAGACACGGCCCAGACUCCUACGGGAGGCAGCAGUGGGGAAUAUUGCACAAUGGGCGCAAGCCUGAUGCAGCAACGCCGCGUGAGGGAUGACGGCCUUCGGGUUGUAAACCUCUUUUAGUAGGGAAGAAGCGAAAGUGACGGUACCUGCAGAAAAAGCACCGGCUAACUACGUGCCAGCAGCCGCGGUAAUACGUAGGGUGCGAGCGUUGUCCGGAAUUAUUGGGCGUAAAGAGCUCGUAGGCGGUCUGUCGCGUCUGCUGUGAAAACCCGAGGCUCAACCUCGGGCCUGCAGUGGGUACGGGCAGACUAGAGUGCGGUAGGGGAGAAUGGAAUUCCUGGUGUAGCGGUGGAAUGCGCAGAUAUCAGGAGGAACACCGAUGGCGAAGGCAGUUCUCUGGGCCGUAACUGACGCUGAGGAGCGAAAGCGUGGGGAGCGAACAGGAUUAGAUACCCUGGUAGUCCACGCCGUAAACGUUGGGCGCUAGAUGUGGGGACCAUUCCACGGUUUCCGUGUCGCAGCUAACGCAUUAAGCGCCCCGCCUGGGGAGUACGGCCGCAAGGCUAAAACUCAAAGGAAUUGACGGGGGCCCGCACAAGCGGCGGAGCAUGCGGAUUAAUUCGAUGCAACGCGAAGAACCUUACCAAGGCUUGACAUAUACGAGAACGGGCCAGAAAUGGUCAACUCUUUGGACACUCGUAAACAGGUGGUGCAUGGUUGUCGUCAGCUCGUGUCGUGAGAUGUUGGGUUAAGUCCCGCAACGAGCGCAACCCUCGUUCUAUGUUGCCAGCACGUAAUGGUGGGAACUCAUAGGAGACUGCCGGGGUCAACUCGGAGGAAGGUGGGGAUGACGUCAAAUCAUCAUGCCCCUUAUGUCUUGGGCUUCACGCAUGCUACAAUGGCCGGUACAAAGGGCUGCAAUACCGUAAGGUGGAGCGAAUCCCAAAAAGCCGGUCUCAGUUCGGAUUGAGGUCUGCAACUCGACCUCAUGAAGUCGGAGUCGCUAGUAAUCGCAGAUCAGCAACGCUGCGGUGAAUACGUUCCCGGGCCUUGUACACACCGCCCGUCAAGUCAUGAAAGUCGGUAACACCCGAAGCC
Molecule: ribosomal RNA, 1371 nt
Filed under: Leifsonia soli
Lineage: Bacteria; Bacillati; Actinomycetota; Actinomycetes; Micrococcales; Microbacteriaceae
Description: bacterial SSU rRNA
Rfam family: Bacterial small subunit ribosomal RNA
Source: RNAcentral